This 242-nucleotide ribosomal RNA is filed under the name uncultured Oscillospiraceae bacterium. RNAcentral's name for it is "partial 16S ribosomal RNA". It matches the Rfam family "Bacterial small subunit ribosomal RNA", at positions 99 to 339 of the family's 1533-position model. Lineage: Bacteria; Bacillati; Bacillota; Clostridia; Eubacteriales; Oscillospiraceae. The record is from RNAcentral.
CGGACGGGUGAGUAACACGUGAGCAACCUGCCUUUCAGAGGGGGAUAACGUUUGGAAACGAACGCUAAUACCGCAUAACGUAUACGGAUGGCAUCGUCUGUAUACCAAAGGAGCAAUCCGCUGAAAGAUGGGCUCGCGUCCGAUUAGCUAGAUGGUGAGGUAACGGCCCACCAUGGCGACGAUCGGUAGCCGGACUGAGAGGUUGACCGGCCACAUUGGGACUGAGACACGGCCCAGACUCC